Molecule: ribosomal RNA, 426 nt
Filed under: uncultured bacterium
Lineage: Bacteria
Description: partial 16S ribosomal RNA
Rfam family: Bacterial small subunit ribosomal RNA
Source: RNAcentral
GUGGGGAAUAUUGCGCAAUGGGGGAAACCCUGACGCAGCAACGCCGCGUGAUUGAAGAAGGCCUUCGGGUUGUAAAGAUCUUUAAUUCGGGACGAAUUUUGAUGGUACCGAAAGAAUAAGCUCCGGCUAACUACGUGCCAGCAGCCGCGGUAAUACGUAGGGAGCAAGCGUUAUCCGGAUUUACUGGGUGUAAAGGGCGCGCAGGCGGGCCGGCAAGUUGGAAGUGAAAUCCGGGGGCUUAACCCCCGAACUGCUUUCAAAACUGCUGGUCUUGAGUGAUGGAGAGGCAGGCGGAAUUCCGUGUGUAGCGGUGAAAUGCGUAGAUAUACGGAGGAACACCAGUGGCGAAGGCGGCCUGCUGGACAUUAACUGACGCUGAGGCGCGAAAGCGUGGGGAGCAAACAGGAUUAGAUACCCCUGUAGUCC